This is a long non-coding RNA of Pogoniulus pusillus (Red-fronted tinkerbird), 1188 nucleotides long. RefSeq lists it as uncharacterized. Lineage: Eukaryota; Metazoa; Chordata; Aves; Piciformes; Lybiidae. The transcript is spliced from 4 exons. The record is from RefSeq and is a predicted model, not a curated record.
AGCCCGGCCCUGCCGUUCUUCACCUGGGAGGAGAUGGAGCAGCGCAACGGGCGGGGGCCGUUGGCCAGGAGCGGGGGCUGGGGAUCGAGAGGAAGGUGGACGACAUCAGCCGCUUCUACCGGAGGCAGCCGGGAGGGGCCCGGCUCAUCGGCAGCCACGCCGGGCAGGACGCCACGGACCUGGCCUGGAUGCUGACCUUCUAGAUCAGAUUGUCUUUUACUCAUGGAUUACUACUAAGGAGUCUCCUGGCAUAUUAUUUUAUAUUCAGGAUGCUGGAGAGCAGCUGGUUUGUCUGGGUGUCACAGAGGAACCAUAUCCCUGUGGAUAUUUACUGUGACAAAAACCUGGAGUGGGUGCCUACUCAGAAAGAAAAACUCUAUUAAAAUGUUGUCAGAUCUUAGCAAAUCUUUUACAGUAUCAUGCCACUGUUUAUGUCCCUGAAGUGCUGAAGCUGAUCCUCAUCCUGCAGCCUUCACAAACAUCUACACAGAAGCCCAUCAGAUGAUAACAUUGCUCAAAAAAACCCAAAGCUUGUGACUUGUCUGUUUUAAAUCCAAAGAGCAUUUAGGAGAAGCAGCGAGGGUCAAAAGCAACCUGGGCUCUGCACACACACAGAGUAAGUAAAGCAAAGCAAAGGAGCAGAAAUCUCUUUCCAACUUCUCCCCACAAAGCCAAGGGCAUUUUCAAGACCCUGUAGGCAAGAUGGGAGCUGGGAUUAGGCACAGCUAUGUGGUUUCACCUCCUUUGUGUGAACCACUCCUGAUUCUUCUCCCUCACUUCAAGCCAUACGAAAAGCUCCUCUGGAAUUCUUUGCUUCUUUAACUGGGUUUGGAAGAAAGAUUGAAGGGAAAAAAUGCAAGCAAGGCAAAAUAUGUUCGACUUCUGUUAAAGAUUACACCUUCAGGCAGAGCAGGUAUUGCACAACUUAAAGCAGCACUGGUUUGGCCAGCUUGUUUGCCAGGGUCUAAGUACCUGUGGCUUGAGCAGAGCAGGUCUGGAACAGGUCGUGCAGACCUCUGCUUGGGCAGGGGUCAGCCCUGUGUCAUUUGGGCAGCGCUUCACUAAAGGAAUGGACAAAAGUUGAUGUUUGGUCCCACAGGCAGCUCACUCUGCACUUAUUUCUUUGAUCUACGGCACCAAAGACAAUGCUGGUGUGAAGAAACGUUCCACUGAGCUCUUUGCUGAAGG